This 253-nucleotide ribosomal RNA is filed under the name uncultured bacterium. RNAcentral describes it as "partial 16S ribosomal RNA". It matches the Rfam family "Bacterial small subunit ribosomal RNA", at positions 524 to 776 of the family's 1533-position model. The record is from RNAcentral.
UACAGAGACUGCGAGCGUUAUUCGGAUUCACUGGGCGUAAAGGGUGCGCAGGCGGCCGUGUGUGUGAGGCGUGAAAGCCCGGGGCUUAACCCCGGAAUUGCACCUCAAACUACACGGCUAGAGCAUUGGAGAGGGUAGCGGAAUUCACGGUGUAGCAGUGAAAUGCGUAGAUAUCGUGAGGAACACCAGAGGCGAAGGCGGCUACCUGGACAAUUGCUGACGCUCAGGCACGAAAGCGUGGGGAGCAAACGGG